Molecule: ribosomal RNA, 841 nt
Filed under: Escherichia coli
Lineage: Bacteria; Pseudomonadati; Pseudomonadota; Gammaproteobacteria; Enterobacterales; Enterobacteriaceae
Also listed under: 1 other name
Description: partial 23S ribosomal RNA
Rfam family: Bacterial large subunit ribosomal RNA
Source: RNAcentral
CCCGUGAACCUUUACUAUAGCUUGACACUGAACAUUGAGCCUUGAUGUGUAGGAUAGGUGGGAGGCUUUGAAGUGUGGACGCCAGUCUGCAUGGAGCCGACCUUGAAAUACCACCCUUUAAUGUUUGAUGUUCUAACGUGGACCCGUGAUCCGGGUUGCGGACAGUGUCUGGUGGGUAGUUUGACUGGGGCGGUCUCCUCCUAAAGAGUAACGGAGGAGCACGAAGGUUGGCUAAUCCUGGUCGGACAUCAGGAGGUUAGUGCAAUGGCAUAAGCCAGCUUGACUGCGAGCGUGACGGCGCGAGCAGGUGCGAAAGCAGGUCAUAGUGAUCCGGUGGUUCUGAAUGGAAGGGCCAUCGCUCAACGGAUAAAAGGUACUCCGGGGAUAACAGGCUGAUACCGCCCAAGAGUUCAUAUCGACGGCGGUGUUUGGCACCUCGAUGUCGGCUCAUCACAUCCUGGGGCUGAAGUAGGUCCCAAGGGUAUGGCUGUUCGCCAUUUAAAGUGGUACGCGAGCUGGGUUUAGAACGUCGUGAGACAGUUCGGUCCCUAUCUGCCGUGGGCGCUGGAGAACUGAGGGGGGCUGCUCCUAGUACGAGAGGACCGGAGUGGACGCAUCACUGGUGUUCGGGUUGUCAUGCCAAUGGCACUGCCCGGUAGCUAAAUGCGGAAGAGAUAAGUGCUGAAAGCAUCUAAGCACGAAACUUGCCCCGAGAUGAGUUCUCCCUGACCCUUUAAGGGUCCUGAAGGAACGUUGAAGACGACGACGUUGAUAGGCCGGGUGUGUAAGCGCAGCGAUGCGUUGAGCUAACCGGUACUAAUGAACCGUGAGGCUUAACCUU